Molecule: ribosomal RNA, 165 nt
Filed under: uncultured bacterium
Lineage: Bacteria
Description: partial 16S rRNA
Rfam family: Bacterial small subunit ribosomal RNA
Source: RNAcentral
UAGGGAAUCUUCGGCAAUGGGGGCAACCCUGACCGAGCAACGCCGCGUGAGUGAAGAAGGUUUUCGGAUCGUAAAGCUCUGUUGUAAGAGAAGAACGUGUGUGAGAGUGGAAAGUUCACACAGUGACGGUAACUAACCAGAAAGGGACGGCUAACUACGUGCUAG